CCUACGGGUGGCAGCAGUGAGGAAUAUUGGUCAAUGGACGAGAGUCUGAACCAGCGAAGUAGCGUGAAGGAUGACUGACCUAUGGGUUGUAAGCUUCUUUUAUAUGGGAAUAAAGUGAGGAACGUGUUCAUUUUUGUAUGUACAAUAUGAUUCAGCCUCGGCUAACUCCGUGCCAGCAGCCGCGGUAAUACGGGGGAUGCGAGCGUUAUCCGGAUUUAUUGGGUUUAAAGGGUGCGUAGGGGGUUAAUUAAGUCAGCGGUGAAAGGUUGUGGCUCAACCAUACAAUUGCCGUUGAAACUGGAUGACUGGAGUACAGGUGAGGUAUGCGGAAUGCGUGGUGUAGCGGUGAAAUGCAUAGAUAUCACGCAGAACUCCGAUUGCGAAGGCAGCUUACUAAACUAUAACUGACACUGAAGCACGAAAGCGUGGGGAUCAAACAGGAUUAGAUACCCCUGUAGUC
Molecule: ribosomal RNA, 460 nt
Filed under: uncultured bacterium
Lineage: Bacteria
Description: partial 16S ribosomal RNA
Rfam family: Bacterial small subunit ribosomal RNA
Source: RNAcentral